Molecule: ribosomal RNA, 315 nt
Filed under: uncultured eukaryote
Lineage: Eukaryota
Description: partial 18S ribosomal RNA
Rfam family: Eukaryotic small subunit ribosomal RNA
Source: RNAcentral
CCCUUAGACGUUCUGGGCCGCACGCGCGCUACACUGACCGGUGCAACAAGCAUCCGUCCUUGGCCGACAGGCCCGGGCAAUCUUUGAACGCCGGUCGUGAUGGGGAUAGACUUUUGCAAUUUUUGGUCUUCAACGAGGAGUUCCUAGUAAACGCAAGUCAUCAACUUGCAUUGAUUACGUCCCUGCCCUUUGUACACACCGCCCGUCGCACCUACCGAUUGAAUGGUCCGGUGAAGCCUCCGGAUUGGCGCGCACCUCGGUGCCGCCGAGAAGUUGGCUAAACCUUACCAUUUAGAGGAAGGUGAAGUCGUAACA